This is a long non-coding RNA of Mangifera indica (mango), 800 nucleotides long. RefSeq lists it as uncharacterized. The record is from RefSeq and is a predicted model, not a curated record. NCBI's taxonomy places the organism in Eukaryota, Viridiplantae, Streptophyta, Magnoliopsida, Sapindales, Anacardiaceae. The transcript has 2 exons.
UCUUCCGAAUUGCGAACUACAUUCCAGAUUACAAGACGACGUGUCAUUUUCUUUAUUGAAACGAGCAACUCUGCCAUCAAUUCAACCGGAAAAGAAACGAGAACAAGUUCUAGAUGCGCAAAACGAAAACUGGACAUGAUAUUUUUUUUCUCGGUGACAGAUUAGAGGUUUCAUAUGCUCCUUAGUUUGAGAGGGUGGAUGAUACCAAGGACAAGUUCUAAAGGAGGAGAAAGGAAGUUCUGGCUAUAGAUUGUCCUGGACUUAAGAGAAUCACAACGUACAUGUCAAGCAAGUGAUUGUCCAGUCACCAGUCACUUUUUGUGGGGCUCUGGUAAAUCACAACAUGUUAAUCAAGUUACUGAUUCACCUUUCACAAGAGUUUCCUUUGAUAAUGUAUUCUCUUUUUCUUUACUGACAUGCCAAACUUUAAAAAUGUGGUGGUGUGGAGUUGUUGUACAAUGUAGUAAUGGUUACUGUUGCUGUUUCUUUCACAAUUAAGGUAGCCAUUGUUACUCUAGUUGGGUAGGUUAGUUUGUUUGGACAAAGACAACUGGCGUGAGUCUGAAGUGGAGAUCAAGGCAGAACUCAACCAUGUUCAGGCUUCCAUGCUGCUGAGUCCAUGUUGGAUCGAUUAGAUCACAUUGUUCUGUUCAGCAUGGAGUGCAUAACUUUAAAUCUUGACCUCCUUGAGUGUUGUCUUUCCUUAUGAAUGUUUGACAAUCUUUAUUAAUCUUCUGUUGUUUUAACAAUAUUAUAAAGGUCAGCACAAAUUCUUUGCAAUACAAUGUUUUGAUUUUCAA